Molecule: long non-coding RNA, 5698 nt
Organism: Coturnix japonica (Japanese quail)
Lineage: Eukaryota; Metazoa; Chordata; Aves; Galliformes; Phasianidae
Source: RefSeq, a predicted model, not a curated record
GCCGGAUGGCGCGCGAGGCUUUGCGGCCUAGUCGGGCUGUGAGGCGGCCGGUGGUCGGAGGAGCUGGUGGGGAUGGGGGGCUGAGAUCGGCCCUGCCGACACAGCUCGGCCCUGAGGAGGUUGGUGGGCGGUUGGUGGCACCGAAGUGGAGCAGAAGGACAGCGCUGCUUUGUCUGUAAGGAAGAAAAGCUUUCCUUCCCGCCUCUGUAAGAAGGAAAUUAUCUUAGAAUGAACCCACUGGGACCCUUAAACUAUGAGAGAAGUCCAUAUCCCAGCAGAGUGUGCAAACAAAGCAGCCAACAAGAUGUGGCCAGGAGGCAGCAGCUCUGUCCCCUGUGAGGUUUUCUCCACAGACGUGCAUCCCUGAGUGCUGUUUGUAAGCUGAACUGAUGGGUGCAUUGCAGAGGGAUUCGCCACAGCUCAAGGGAAUGUUUCGCAGAAACUGAGACCGUCGCUAUGCUAAUACAGCCUUUGGCCAUUCCCAGGGCUCUGCAUGCAGCUACUCCAGACCCUAUUCAGCCCAAGUGCUGUCUACUGCUCCUCCUGGCCUUAACAGGAACAGAGUUCAGAUAAUUGUGUUUUUUGCACCGUGCUGUGAAGUCAAGAAGAAGUGAAUCAGGUCACAUUCUGUGAACAGGCAACAACGAUUUUUCCUGGAAAGUCUGGAAGAUGUGUUCUGACAUCACAAAAUUGAAGGUUUCUUAAUGAAGGCCACCUUGUUACAAGAAACCUGAACCUGAAAUGAGAGUAGAGAUCAUGUCCUGAGUCACAUAGCUCCACAGAGAACUUCAGUUUGCAGGCAGGAAACAAAUGCUCUCUAACAGGUAAACUGAUAGCACUUUUUCUUAAAAACAAAGGUCCUUCCUACACACUUGCCACCAAUUUUAGUUCUGCAAUGCAAAAGAUUGCAAUUCCUUUAUGUAACCCUACAGGACAUCAAAGAGAACUCCCAGGAACUGGUAGUCAUCAUCAGGUAAUGAUGAUAUCAGAUGAGACAUCCUGUAGGGAUCCUGCAGGGGUUUUUGGACUUGAUCUCCAGAGCUCCCUUCCAGCCCCUACAGUUCUGUGAUUCUAUGAAAGACAGAAGCCUAUUUCCAAAGCAACGUUUUUGCCUGGAAUAGGAUUACAUCAGUGUGAUGCUCACUUUUGUAUGUUUUCCUAUGACUGAGUUAAUUCGAACAGGGCACUUGCAAUAACAAGUUCUGCUGAUGAUCUGUAAUCAGAGUCACCAGCAAACCAUGAAGAUCAAUAGUUACCUGCAUCACGAAUGGAGCAUCACCCUUUUCUGCCUCAACAUGUCCUCUUUUUUGUCUGUUUUAUCAUUAUUAGAUGUUGUAAUGUAUGGAAGUUUGGAGUGCUUUUGUGGAUAACAUUGUAACAAGAAAUGCAUUUACACUGGGAAGCCAGACACCAGUAAUUUUGGGUAGGGUGUCAAGCUGACACAUCUGCUAAGCUACUGUUCAGUAGACCACAUGUACUAAAUUGCUGUAACUCUCUGCUCUAAGUGUUUAAUUUAACCAAUGAUAAACGCACAGUGAUGUACUUUAGCAAGACUCUCUGUGAUGAGGGAUGAAGAGAAGCAGCACUUGCCAUGGGUAAAGAGCAUGCACAUGUCAGUCACUGAGAUGGGGUGAUGAACACUUUGGGAUAUUUUGCUUGCCAGACUUAGCUACUUAAACCAACUCUGCAGGGAAACCAAGUCCUGAGACCAAACAAACACACACACAAAGGAUGCUUACUGCUGUUAAAGCAACAUCUACAACUUUCCAAACAUUUUCCAUCUCCAAGUUUUCUUUAAGGCUUCCCCUCAGUUGUUAGUAGGUUACAUAGUUAUGACAUUUAGCCAACACUUUCAGUAGGUUCAGCAUUUGAUUCAGGGCUCUUUGAAAUACCCCGAAUUGUAUUAUUUUAAAUAAGCACCUUAUCAAUUCAUCUUAUUCUGUUAUUCUUGAAGGAAGUACAGUUUGAGAAAUCCUAUUCUUUUUGACAGUUUUCUCUCUGUAUUUCGUUACUUGGGAACUGAUCUCCCUCUAGCUGGCAGAUUUACAGACCCUCCCCUGCUGUCUGCCUUUCAGGAAAGCAGCUGGCAACCAGCUCCAGUUCUGCUGCUGUCACCCCUCUGCCAUUCAGGCACCUGUCUUCACAAGAGACAUUUUCUGCCUGCGUGGAAAUCCACAGUGGCCUUCCUAGUGACUGAGGGUGCUGCUGCCUUCCAUUAUGACUCCUUUAUCUCUGGGGCAAACAUCAAGUAACAUUUUUUUUCUGGUUUACAGUUCUCUCUGACUUGGGGUUUGCCUUUCUUCAGGUUAUUUGGAGUCAAAGAACCGGUUGCUCACCACAAGUUUGUGCACAGAGAUGGAGAACAUCAGAACCCAGCUCCUGACAGGCACGAACCAGUUUGGUUUAUCUUCUCAGCUCAGGCACGAUCCCUUUCACUGUUUUUUAGUGCUGGUUUAUCUUGCCCUUAUCAACAAGCAGCAUUUUUCCAAUUUAAGAAUUCAACUCACAGCUGACCUGCACCUACACAGACAAACAAAAAAAGAAUAGAAGAAGAGCAAGAAGGAUGUGGUUUAAACUUGCCAAAGAUUCAGAAUUACCUUCUUCAGGUUUUCUAUGAGAUGAAACUCAUAUGGUUUCCCUGCAAUGCUGUGGUAGCAACUCAAGAUUUCCAGAAGCUCUGCUAUGUUUUUACACUGUACUUCACUAGAUUCUUCCAAAGAAGUUGCACGCUGUUAAGAAUUGAAAUGAUCUCUUAUUCCCCUGAACAGUUAGAGUAAAGCAGACCACUGCAGAGUUGCAUCUUCCAUAGAACUUGUACAGGAAUAAUAUUUAAGCUUUAGGAUGUUUUGCCCAGCUUCUUUGUCAUUUAGUUGGAACCUGUACAUCUUGCCACAUGUGCCUGUUUACGCUUUCUUCUCAUUUUAUGUUUCCAUCAUUGACACCGAUUUUCUCUGCUAUGGUUUUUUUCAAGAAGCACUUAAGACAGCAAAACAAACAACAGCAAUACUCUUCCUAGGGCAGAACAAUAGCUUUCAACACCCACUAAACAGAGACACUGUCAGGAUGCCGGCUUUAACCUUCCCUCAAAGCAAACAGAAACCAAAGCUCAAACUGAGAGUCCUAAUUGCUCAAUCUCCCUUGCCAGGAGGCCCCUGGUCUGCAGGCCAGGAAUGAUGGCGAAACAAAAAGUAGCUGGUUGAGUUUUCAAGACAUGCUGUGAUUUACUCACUUGAAUUUGAACAAGGAACAGAGAUGCUGUCACAUAGAUUACUCACAAUCGUUUACCGCCAGCCCUUCACAGAGGACAUCACAGUGCUCUCAUGUCUGGCUACUCCGCAACAGACCCAGGAGCACUCCAUGACAAUCUGCAGUCUGUGCAAAUUAUAUCUCAAAAGGAGAGCGCUAAAAGAGACCAAGAAACAGAACAAAACUUCUUUGCCUUUGGCUUUGCUUUUUACUAACUAUUUCUCAGGCUGAUGAGAAGACCUCUCCCAGGCAUAAUGUGCCCCCUGCAAGAAAAGAACAUCUUAUUGUUAUAGAUUCUCUCAAACCAGGUCUUAGCUCAGUGCUUAUUAGAUUAUUUCAAGAUUAGUUACAUUCAUGCAUUCACAACACUCACAUGUAAGUACCGUUACAGUGAAAGAGAUUUACUAUCGGUUACAUGAGCAAGGCUCAUGUCUUUGACCCUACUAAUGUGUUCUUCCUCGGCUGUAUAGCUUGUCAUGAGCAUAACAGUGCUUCUUCAGAGCUGUACUCUGUUGAUGAUUAGAGGUUUUAAGAGUUAGGUCAUCUUUACCAUGCAGAGGCACAAUGGCAUGAUGGUCACAAGUGUUUGUCAGCAAGUAAAGCACGGGACAUCUUUCAGGAAGACCAAGGCACCUGGAAUUCUGUCAUUUGCCUGGUGUGACAGCAUUGUCCAGCUCCCAUUGCUGUGUGCAGUAGACCACUAAGAUACAACAUGCUGAAGCAAAAUUCUAAUCUAACUCUGCCUCUACUUUUCAUCAUGACAUCGAUUUCAGUUUAGGAACAAACCUAUUAACAUAUACUAAACCAGUAGCUCAAAAUGUGCAUAAACUGGACAAAGCUCAAAAUCAUACUCCACCAAUUGGUGUGGGUAAGCUGAUGGAGACACUCUUCAUUUCUUGAUGUAACAUUUGUGCAUGGCCAUUCGGAACGUGACUCAUCUUUCACACUUCUGUCACUACUGCUGAAACGCAUGACCCACCACCUCCCUGUGCCAACAUCCACUGUUUGAUCUCCAGAAACACUCACCAAGUGUUGAUGAAUGUCACUGGGUGCCAUUUUUUUCACAUGAAGGAAUUCAAUCACAUGCAUUUGUUUCGUACGCGCUUCCAUGCGGGAAGCCAUUUUGUCAGACUGACCCUCUGCUUCCAUUUCUCACAUGGCAAUAAGGUAUAAUGGAAUACUGGUGGAUAGGUUAAUCUCUACUGCCAUCCCACCAACACCCACCUCUGACAUCAUGUGCCAAUAUCAUAAAACAGAAGACAUUACUUUCGGAACAGCCUCCAUACUAAAAGUCUCUGUCCUUUCAGAUGAGGACACAGGUCUGCACAGCUUGGAGUACAAUGGGCACUGCAUGCCAAACUUAUCAUGUGAACACUGCAAUACAAAACCAGAAUUGCUUUUUUGCAGUGUUGUUAGCCCCUACUGUCCACCUCCAGGGGACUCUGAGGUGCCCAACUCCAAGAUCAGCAGACAAAACAUGCAGCAAAACAUGCAAGAAAUGCAUUGGGAGUGAACAACAGGCCUUGGAAGUGAAUCUGACCCAAUUUAAGAGAUGAGUAACACAUCUGUAAUCAACAAAGUGUUCUUCCAGUUGCACGUUUCAGCUUGAGCCUGCUCUAUUCCUUCCCAUUGUAUUCAAUUUCUGUAGGAUUUCCUAUUGAACUCAUGCCAGUUUUGCACACAUUGCUCCACUGAGGCUGUGUCCCUCGAGAAAAAAUAUUGAAUUGUUCCAGAUGCUUUAACUCAUAAACCUCAACAACUUUAAUCCCCCAGCAAACCUUCCACUUCCCCAGGUCAACGUGGUCAAGGCUGCAUUCUCAAUGUAUCUACAUUUCCUUCCUGAAAUUGGCCAAGUUGACCUUCCACAAUAUUUCAUCUUAAGUAGAACAUUACAAGAAAAGAUUAUAUUAUAUUACAACAGGAUCAAACACCUCCUAGUAUUCAGUGGUAGACCCAGCACUGUUUUAAAGGAGAAAAAGAAGGGUGACACCCUUUACCUGUGAGGUGAGAGAGGUAGAAGACAACACAUCUACUCUAGACAAAUAAUGUGAUUUUCUUUAACAAAUAACAGCUCUUUCAACCUUCAAAAGGAAGACUUCCAAAGAAAGACUGAAAAAACCCUCUUGGGAACUCUAUAGUGAGAGAAAGUCAGAAACAGGACUGUGAGCAUUCCAGAGAAAACAGAAGUUGGGAAGGCAGAUAGUCCUUCUGUCUUAAAAUUAUCUGAUGUCACAUAUCACAUCUGCAAGCACUCUAGCAAAGUUUUGGGGUUUUUUUCUCACUAAGAGCCCUAUGCUGUUUUUCAGUUGCUUGUCUAUGGGUCCUGAAAGCUAACUGCUAAGAAACAGCUCUGUCUGCCACUUUCAUCACAUUGGGAUUUUUACACCGAGGAACUCCAAAAUGUUCUGACUGUCUACCAAGGAGGAAAGAAAUAAAUCAACAGUGGUGUGUA